Molecule: unclassified non-coding RNA, 11596 nt
Filed under: Leishmania donovani
Lineage: Eukaryota; Euglenozoa; Kinetoplastea; Trypanosomatida; Trypanosomatidae
Description: gene:LdHU3.12.0440(CDS-product:Myotubularin-relat ed_protein_putative)
Source: RNAcentral
CAGAGUCCAUAUUAGCAGUCACUGGAGCCCGCAUGCAUCCACGCGGACGGCAUGUGAGGCAGACUUUGACGGCCCCAUCCCCACCCGUAUCUACACUCAGCGUCCUUAGCUCCGUGAACUCGCGUGGUCAUCGUCGCGAUACACUUUAUUUUUCGUUUGGAGCGGCUGUAGACAUCUGCCGCUGCCACUGCUCUUGCGUGUGUCGCUCUUUCUCUCUUUCUCUGCUCCACUCCCUCCUCACCACCUUCUUCACCCUCUCUUGCAAAGACAGACAGUCCAGUUCGGGUGGCGUGGCUUCGCCGUGACUCAGCUUGCUCGCUCCCCCGACGGGUCAGCGUACAGAGACACGCACGGGGCAGCCAGCGCCCGCCUUUGCAUCUCCCUUUAGUUUUUUUUUUUGGUUGCUUGCUCCUGCUUUCCUUUCCCAUCGGUGAUCGCGAUUUUCAAGAGUCGCAAGUGGACUGUGUGUACCCCCUCACCCUCUCUCUCCCAUCCGUGUCCGCAUCACCACCGGCGUUCCCGUACGGCUACUGCCUGCUUGCGCCAGAUCGCUCUGCAGUGGUGCGCGAGUGCGAAAUCCGUGGUCCGUGCGCUGUGAGGUGGUGUUGGGAGGCGAGGGUGCGCCUGUCUUCUGCUGCCACUGCUGCAGCGAAUGCAGUCCGACCAUUUCCGUGCUUGCAUUCGUCAUCGAAAACGGCACCCGCUCUCCAAGAUGCCAACUGUGUCCAUUGUAGGCGUCGAUGCCGCCUGGGAGCCCUCGUGCUGCCCAUCCGUGAUCGCCGAUGCUGCAGGCGCCGCCACGCGAGACAGCACCGGCCUUCUCGCAGUGCCGGAGGUGGAUACGGAAACGGGCAUCGUUAUCCUAGACCUCGGGCGCCGCAGUGGUGACGCGAACGCAUCUCGCGGUCCUCAUGUCUAUGGCGCCGCUCAUAAUGCCCCCAACAAGCCGCCGUGUUGGGCUCGAAACGAUGGCGUGUGGGCACGGCUGCAGGCCGCCGGGUUCCCAUGCCUCGUCGCUGUCCUGGCACAGCCGCUCGUGAGACCCGCCGCUGCACCACCACCACCACCACCACCACUGCCGCCGGCGCAGAGGACAGUGGAAAAAGGAAGCGCCGACAGGGGGUACGCGGACAGCGCUGGCCUCGGUGCAGAUGCAGGGGCGGGUCUGGCGACCGCCUCUCUCCUUAGGCCCGCGUCAUCCGCGGGUGCAUCCAACCAGACGGCGAAGCCGCUGCUCGUGUAUUUGCCCACUAUCGUGCCCUCUGCCGCCACCCCCAACGAUGCCGCUGCAUCUGCCGGCUACGGCGAUGCGGCAGGCGGGGUCGGUGAUACUGACUCGGAAGCACCGUCGGUCGCUGCGUUGCCUUCCUUCUCGCACAGCGUGUCGUCGCGCAGCGUGAUGGGUAAGCUGGGUAAGCUGCCAAGCCCUGACCUAUCCCCGGCAACAGCAGCCACGACCACUGCUGCAGAUCUGUCCUUUUCCGUUCCGUCUUCUAUUCCGCUCUGUCGCUCGUCGCCGCCGCGCGCACUCCUGCCUCUGUGCUUCAGCUCGGCCCCCGUGGCGCCGCUUCGCCACCUCCUUGCCUCAGCUGCCGUGUGCGUAGACGGCCACAGAAUACCGUCGGCUUUCUCUGCUGCAGCCGCGCAAGCCGAGGAGGAUGCGCAGGCUCCACUCAGAGGCGCUGGCGCUACGUGUGAAGCAGUGAAAAGAGAGCACGCGCGAGAAGUCGAUACGUUGCAGCAGCCGCCACCUCCCUCGUCGAGCGCCUACACAGAUGCGAGCACCGGUGCGGUUGGUGUUGCUCGAGUCGUCUGUCGAGCAGUCUGGCCAAUCCCUCCGUGGUCGGCGAAUCCACUGCCGUUGUUCGCUCCGGAGGCGGUCCCGUUGCUAUCCUACUCGAUGAGCACUGAUGGCAGUCAUCGCGGAGUUUCGGUAGACAAAUCCGCAACGCCUCGAGUGGCGGGAACAGCAGCAGCGGAUGACGACAAUGUGGAAGCGGCUGUGUCUGACCUGCUGGAGCACCUCGGUGAGUGGAACAGCUCCCUCGUGGCCGGCAUGUUCUUGAGUGCGAAGGUGCUGGCGGCAAGCACGCCCACGACGCAAUCAGCUACACCGUCCUUGUCGCAGCAACAACCGGAAACGACAGCGACGAGGACGAGAGAUGGCGAGGCGGAGGCUGAAGCGGCGGCUCUGGAGAAAGAAGGUGGCAGUGUCACAGUGGCCUCGGCAUGCCCUACCUCAAUGCAAGAGCUGCUAGCGCUUCUCUUUCAGUACUGGCAUCAGCGGUUGGCGGACCCGCCGGCGUGCACGUGUGCAGUAGGGCCUCCCGGAAGGCAUCAGCAGCACCACGAGGUAUCUGCGUCUCUGAAAGCCGUUGCGGGCGCCACCGCUACCACGUUUGCCGCCCAGGAGAGCGUUGGGGUGGUGCCGCAGUCCCCAUCACCUCCGACGCAGACGCCGACACUCAUCAGCCGCGCCUUUUUUCAGGAUCCUCAAGGCCGCGAGCACGCGGCAGAAGCACCCUGGCACAAGUCCAUCAAGCAGACGCCGGCGCAGGCAACGCCGCUGUCCUCGCCCUCUCCGCUGCCCCCUGCCGCCCCGCACCACUACACGUCCGCGUUCCUUGUGGAGCAGCUGCUGAUGUCGAUCGAGUUUUCCAUCGCGUACUUGGUGAGCCGCAAGCGGGACGCGGCGGCGGUGUCUGGCAGUCAGGCAGAUACAGAUGCUCUCCGUGACGCAUUCAAUGAGGACGAUGCUCGAGCGCCGCCCUUGACACCGUUGCGGGUUCAGCAGCGGCUCCGGUGCUACCGACUCCCGCCGGUCUCCUCGCACACACCAUUUGAGGUGGUGUGGGGGCUGUACCUCGCGCAGCGGAUGCGCAUGUUCAGCGGCUCCGAGACCUUAGCAUCCGCAGCCAAGGUCCGCGCUGGCGCACAAGCGCCGGCUGCUGCGCGCUUACGGUUGUCGGCGCCCUCGAAACCGUCGCUGGAGCACGCCGAGGCAGCGCUUGCCGAUGGAGAGGAAGAGGAGCAGCGGCACGACGCAUGUGGCCUGAGCUGCACAGCGAUGGACGUGUGGACACUGUGGCAGCGGGCAGCAGGAAUGACGUGGAAACGGUCACCAGCAGCACCAACAGCGUUGGCGCCCAUAGUCAAGGAAGCGGCGGUGGAUGCCACACCCCUAUCGCCACCGCUACAGCUUACUGCGCCACUGCAGUCCGCGAAUGCACUGAUGGAAGUAAGCAACCCUACAGCAUCGCAGCCGUCACUCGCCUCACCGUGUCGCACGCGUAUCUUCUCCGCAAGCAGCAUGGAGCGGCGGCGUCCGUCAUCAGACCGCCUGCUCGUUCUGCCGCCUGUUCGCUCCUCAACACCACAGCCUCUACCCAGUCGCUUGCCCACCCACAUCAACUUCACGGUGCAGACAGUCUCGAAGCCGUGCAAGAGCUCUCACAGUGCCCCUGACGUGGCCGCCGUAGCAGCCGCAGCAAUCCAUGACAGGUCACUGCCGUCCCCACACGCAGUGUUAGCUGCACAAGCGGUUCAACUACAGCAAGGACGUGAGCCGGUGCAGAUGUCCUCGGCAACGUCGGUGGCGGCAGCGACCGCAGGACUUCUUCAGGUACUUCCGAGCUUCCUCUCCUCUCGCGUCCCAGUGCCGGAUGCGCCUUCUCCACCGUCGCUGCAGCCCUCGACUUCGGUACGCAAUUCGCCCUCCCCACAAUGGCUGCACAAGCGGGCCAGAGCGUCCACAGCAGUGACUGCCGACGUGCGUGCCGCAACGCAGCCGGCGCAGAGAAGUGGCAAACCCGACGCUUGGCUGCAAGAGCGGCGCGAGACGCAUGGCGUCAGCGAGGCGAACGCAGCCGUGAGACACGUACCAGCCUCUCAGCAGCCGGCAACAGGCACGAUGCAAGGAGGCCGCAUCGAUUCAUGGGAGAGCAUUGGCGAUAGCAGCCUCGACAGCGCGGACGGGAUGAGAGACAAGAGGAACGACGGCGUGGCGCGUGUCGCAGGGCAGUUGACCGCCAGCACCACUGUGAGCCGCAGUAUACAUGACGCCUCCACUUCUUUGGUCGCCGCUGGAUCGCAGGCGCACGUGCAGCAGCGACGCUCUACCCUGCCAGCCACCUGCACCGUCGAGCCACCCAAAAGCGUUCUUCCCGCUGCACCGGCUGCGGAGAGCGGCAGGCGAAAAACGCAUCGUACCGGUGAGGUCGGUGGCGACAGCGACGAUGGCGGCAGGCACACCGCACGCGCCACUGCGGCAACGCCGUUGGAGGGAUGGAAGGAGACGCUACCGCCCGACGAGGCACACUGGAUGGAAAACCGCGGUGGUCUCGAUGCAGCAACGACGGCGCCGCAGACGUCUCGCUGCCGGCGGCCGCGCGGAGGGCUGUACUCUGCUGCCUCUUUCGUAGCAGUCCUCUCCGCGGCGGUGUCGCAGGUGCUGUCCGAGCAGCAGGAUCCAUCGCAGCAACAUCAGCAGCAGCAGUUCCACGGCUUCCCCGCAGCGCCUCCCUCCUUCGCGCCCUCGGGCUCCGUAUCUUUCUCCUCCACGGCAGCGGCGGUGGCGGCGCAGCGGCUGGAGCAGAUCCGCCGUGGCCGGCUUUUGCCCUCCCUCGCUACGCUCGACAGUCUCAACUUGCUACCGCAGUACGUGCCUGUCUGGUGCUACACGUACGACCCCAUCACCGGCCAGCGGGCAACGAGGCGGCGCGGCGACGAUGGUGGUGGCAGUAGCGGUCAUGUGCACAAUCGCAGCUACCUACAGCGCUACACCCCAUCUUCCAGCGGGGCGGUGACCCGUUCGCGUGGCGGCGGCGGCGGCGGCGCAGGCGGUGGCAUCCACGAGCUGGGUCGCGCUGGCAAGGCGGGCUUGACCGCCACCUACAGAUAUGUUUCUGAGACGGCGCGAACAGUGCUCGAUGCGGUUAAGUCGUCUGUACCGAACAAGGUGCAAGGCGCGAGGGGCAUCAAUGGCAAUAGCACCCAACCUGUGAGCAGCGGCACCGGCGACGGAGGGAGAGCUGGUUUUCCCGCCACACCGGCGACAGCGGGUGCACCGAUGGAGAGCCCCGUCAUGUCUCCCGUUGCCGUCUCCGCGCCACGCACGUCCUUGGAUGCGCCUCUGCCUGUGAUGGCUAGCGUUCAUGCUCCCGCGCACGGCAGCUGCAACGCAACUCGUGAUGCGACGAAGGAUCCAAGUCUGUACUACGCCAUGUGCGGGCUGUACAUCACGGAGCAGGACAUUAUCAUACGCGCCAUUCCGACGGUCGAGGUCGAGCGCCAGCGUGAGAAGGCGAGGCAGAAGCGGCGGCAACAGAAAGGCGUGCCCUCAGCGCCGACACGAGGAUUCGGCUGGGCGAAAGCCAGCGGCGGAGGUAGAGGCUGCCUCGGCCGCGGCGGCGCACCUUCAGUUGGCAGCGAAGCCGAGCGCUCGAAGUGCGCUGACGGGAACAACAGCAGCGACGAGGGCAACAACGUCGACGACAGCGACGAGGAGGAAGUGGUGGAGCUGCUGAUUUUGCCACGCGUCAGCCUUGUGUCUGUCACGCCGUGUGCGGUGGAUCGCAGCGCCGGCGGCGUCUUCGCCGUCAAGCACGCUCGCAAGCUGUACGACCAUCUGGAGCGAGACCGCAACUUCGCUCCUUCGUCCUCAGCGGCCACAACCUCAGGUUCGACCUUGGCCGUGCCCGCCUCUGGCGGCAGUGGUAGCGGCGGCGGUGGCGAAGGUGGCAGGGAUGCAGCGGAAAGCAGCGUACCGUCCGCCUCAGCGGGGUGUCGAUUGUCGGUGACCGGCACAGCGACCUCAAGCACGGGCACCAAUGCGCGACACCACCUCCCGCGCACAUCAGCGCACUCAGGCCAGCCAGGGCAGACAUCCUUCAUGACGUCGUCGACCGUGGUGGUGCUAAAGCUGCAAUCUGGGCAGAUGCAGACGGUAUGGCUGGAGUUUGCAGACGAGACGGCGUUGAAUGAGGUCCAUCAGCUGCUGUGCGCUCCACUGCGACCUUCGACUCGGCCACGUGGGAUGGCAGCCUGUCAAGCAGGGCCGUGCUAUGGCAACCGAUUUUUGUCCAGCGCCCGCCGCCUGUGGUGCAUGGUGCCUCUGGUCCUGCUUGCCACGAACGUGCUGCCGCAGGGAGCCGCCACCUCGCCGUUCAUGCAGGCACUCUUGAAGAACGUCACCGUGGCGGCGGUGAUGCUGAACGCGCAGGCAACGGCGCCGUGCAUGGCAGCGGCAACAACCAGGUCGCCAUCACUUCUGUCGAUGGAGGCCUCCACGCUCUCUCUGCCCUCGCCCCUGCCCCCGCGCGGGCCCCCCAUAAUGCUGGCAGACACGUGGUGGCUCUACGACCCCGCUCGAGAAUUCGUGCGCCAAGGCCUGUCAGAGGAACACUGGUCCAUGACGUCGGCGAACGCGGAGUACGCCUUCUGCCCGACCUACCCAUCCACCUUCGUCGUCCCCGCCGCCGUCGCACGCGCGAUGGAAAAUGACGAGGUGGACGGACGACACCGCAUGUCGCGCCGCGUCGAAGCUGUCGCCUUCUACUACGCGCCAACCGGUGGCGUGCUCGUCCGCAGUGCACAACCGACGCUGGCGACGCUGGUGGCCGAUGUGCCGACCGGGCAGGCGUUGGAGUGGACAUCGCGCAUGACGGGUGGCCGGCUUGGUAGAGCAGCGCCGGCCGCGUCGUCGUCGCAGACACAGACGUCGCCGUUGGUGGUGCCGCUGCGGGACGCCCUUCGCCUUACACUGAAUGCCUUCGCCGCGGCGGCUGGAGUGACGGCUCAGCAAAUCUUCGUAAUGGACCUCCGCUCUGCCAGGGCGGCGUUCGCGAAUGUGGGCAAGGGAGGCGGCACCAUGGAGCUUCUCCUGUACCCCUUCGGCGGUGUGGAGUACGCUGGACUGCCAAACAUUCACAGUGUGCAGAAGGCGUGGCGUAAGCUAAGAGCGUCCCUGACACACGACGCGCCGUACCAGCUCCGGGGAGAUGAGAGCGGCUGCCUCGAGACGCAGUACGUGCAGCACGCAGGAGAGCCGCCGUACGCGGCGGUGGUUGCCGCUGCUGAGCUGUCUGCGACGGCGAAGCGGCCCGCGUCAGGUCUCAGCGUGGCGUCGCCACUGUUGGCGUCGCUGCUGCCGCGCCUGCAAGGGUGCAGUCCGAGUGCUCCGCAGUCAGCGAGGGACUUUAGUAGUGGCGCAGACGCAGAAGCGGUUAUCAAGCUCAGUGCUGGUGAGUCCGGCGACAGCGAUGGUAACGGCGAGAGUGGUGGGCCAAGAGACGGUGCGGCAGCGGAAGACUAUGCUGCGGACACAACGGCCAUGACAUCGGCGCCGUCUCGGCCUCCGUUCUCGCUCGGGGGUGUGCGAUGGAGUGCCAUCUUCUCCGCCAUGGCCCCCGUCGGCGGCGCGUCCGUCACUGCCAUGAUGCCGGCAGCACAGCACGAGUGGCUCGCCUACAUUGCCAUGCUGCUCAACACCGCCGUCGUUGUAGCGCGACGUGUAUGCGGCGUGCCGACGGACCCGCUGUACGUGCCUGCCCUGCAGCACAACGGUCCUUUGGCAAACUGCUUCUCGUACAUUGUAGGCCACGCCUUCACACAAUUUCGGCUACCAAAGGCGACGACGUCGGCGUCUGCGGCGCCACGCUCGGGAUCGAGGCGCAGCUUGUGGACGUCAGCCGCAGCCACAGCGUCGGCUGCUCGCAGCUUCAAGGCGCCGCUAGCAUCGUACGAGCACAGCGCGCACGCGACACUCGCGCAUGUGGUGUUUCUCAACUGCUCCGACGGCUGGGACCGCACCCCGCAGAUCAGCAUCCUUGCGCAGCUGCUGCUAGACCCUUACUAUCGCACAGUGGAAGGUCUCUGCAUCUUGCUGGAGCGCGAAGUGCUCUGCUUUGGACAUCCGACGCAACUACGCUCAACGGCGGUGCGCGGCAACGUCGACGACUACUGGGACCAACUCCUCCGCGACGACCAAGACGCUGCGGUAGCAGCGAAGAGGAUGAGCGCGCAGGUUCCCGCGGCAGCGGCGACGCAAACACACGCGACGUCAGCGACCUCGGAGGGCCAGCGACUCUUCCCGGCGUCGAACACGCGGGCGAUAGAGGCGCGUCAGCGCAAAACCGCUCCGGCGGCCUCUCAGUCGCCGACCGUCCUCGCCGCUCACACACUGGCAGCUGGCGAAAUGGGAAACGCCGUGGAGAGUGAGCCUAGGAGCGAUAGCGAGGGGGGUCGAGCAAGCUGCAACGUCGGGCCGCUGACGGCCGCUGCUGCCGCCGCCAGGGAUGACGAUGAUUACGACGACGUUGAAAGUGACGCUACCUCGGCGCUGCUCUUCGAUGAGGGGCCCGUGGAAGCGCACGAGGCUGCGGCGGCUGACGGGCUGAGAGAACGGGCCUUGCAUCGAUGGCUGCAGAAGGCCCGUGCGGCACUGGGCGGCGGUGGUAGCGCAGGCGACGUCGCAGCGACGGAGGGUGCAAGGCAGAGCCGUGGUGCAUCUGCAGCGACUGCUGAUGCGCCGUCAGUGUGCACGUCGUCGAUGUCCUCAAAGCCUCCCAAAGUGCCGCUGUGGUCUAGUAGCGAGGUGGCACCCAUUCUUACGCAGCUGCUCGACGCCAUACGUCAGCUUGUCGUGCUCUAUCCGGCGUGCUUCGAGUACACACCGCAGUUUGUGUGCCUCCUGCUCGACCUCCUCCACAGCGGGCUGAUCAGCACCUUCAGUGUGAACUGCGAGCAGCAGGUGGAGGCGCAGCGCGUGGCAGAGGGCACGCUGUCGCUGAGUCAGUGGUGUGCUCUCCUGCUGUCCACGACGACGGCGACGCCAUCGGCAUUGUGUGCAGCAACGCCUGUCACGGUCCAGCCGUCACCCCUCAGGAACACACUCGACACGCACUCGGAUGGUGGCGGCGGCGACGCCAACACUGUGCUCCUGCUGAGCAGCGCGUCGAACCCCCGUGCCCCCGCGACGCCGGACUCGCUGCGCCAGCAGCUCCCGAGGUCGACGGCAGCGGCGCUAUCGACGUUCCAUGCGGAUCCAGCCAGCGAGGCGGGUGGCGCUGAGGCAAGCGUGGGUGCUGCCAUCUCGGCCGACGCAUCUUUUCAUCGCCUGGAUUCAGCCUUCCUGAUGGGCGACACAGGUCUGGAGCAGGAGGAGUCAGGGGAGAACGCCGUGGACAGCUGUCGCCGCAGCUGCAGCGACACCUUAGAGAGGAAGGCCUUCGCCGUCCACCCUAGAAGUGGUAGUGGCGAGGGUGCGUCUGGCAGUCUUGCAGCCGGUAAGCAGCCGCGGCAGAGAGCUGCCGCGGCACGGUCCUUGCCCAGUACCCGCACUCCUGCCUUGCCGCCGCUCGCCCAAGAGGGAAAGGCGGUGGAGGAGGAGACGGCGACAACAGGGGGUCGCUCGUAUACACCGCAACUGCAGGCGCCGCCACUGGCGCGUCCUGAUGCGUCUCUCCACCUCUACGACUUCGACUGCACCACACAAUGGGGUGUCCCCGUCGCAUCUGCGGCGCCACCGCUGCCGCGCUCGGGGCACGCCCUUCCCUCGCCCUUCUCAAUAUCCUCCUCCGUCACCUCACCGCGGGCGUACUCCGCACGCCCCCGGGACGAGGCCUCGCUCGCAGGGAGUGGGCGGCAGACACAGCACCCACACCAGCAAGCAGGCUGUAAUGCGAGUGGCGCCACGGCGGCGGAUGAGUUCUCUCGCCGUCUGCUGCCCAUCUCGUACGAGGCUCUCUACACCUCUGGUUACCUCAACCCGAACUUUUCCCUGCGCCACAACAGGGUCAAUGUCGGCCCACUCGUGGACUUCAUCCUUCCAUCCCAGCUUACCCUGUGGCGAGCCGCGUAUACACGUCACUCGUUUUGGGGCGUGCGGCAAGCGCAGCUGCAACACGCCACCGGACAGCAUCAGCAGGAGCAGCACCGGCUGCGUGGGGCGGGCGGUGGCAUCGGACAAGGCGCUUCAAACGCAACAGGCGAGGCGAGAAGUUCCUUCGGCCGACACGGCGGCAGCGGCAGCGCUGUGGGCGUGGGUGGUGCUCACGUCGGGGCAGAGGCACAUGGAAGUGGGCUGUGGAGCGCCGGUGCUUCCUCUACGGGGGCAGCGGCGUCGUCGGGCCCCAUCGCUAGCGCCGUACCGGAAGACGCGCGUUGGCAGCCUCGCAACAGCACCCCGCACGUCCCCUCCUUCGCCAGCGCCUCCGUCACGUCACGCACUGGCGGCGGCAGCAGUGCGGCCUUCUUCAUGGGCGAAGAGGACAGCGAGAGUCGCUCGCAAGGUCGACCGGCGCACUUCACGGACGUGGCCGCCGCCUGCACUGCGACCUCCUCGACACCCGGCAUCUACCAGUUCCAUAUCGACUCCGACAGCGAAGACGAGGAGACGGACGACUGCCACUAGCGCCGGCGACAACGAGCUGGAAUAUGAAGGACAGUGAGGCGAGGCUCGCGGGCCUGCGCGCGCCGGGGUGCGUGCGUGCCUCCUGUCUGUGCUCUUGAAUGCUUUCACGUCUGUUCUUUGUACUUGCUGACCUCCGGUGGUUCAGGAGGCGGUGGCGGAGGGCUGCGCGUGGGCCGCUUCUUCUCCCUUCACGCACCCGCCUGUCGAUGCGGAUCACAGAUGCGCUCAGACAGAGGUAAGAGAACGAGGGGGUAGAGUGCGUUCGGUGACGACAGGCACCUCUGAUGCGCUUGAAUAUGUGGCAUGCAUCGACGGCACGCCUUCGCCGCGACCUCGCCCAUGUCUCAUUCCCGCUCUCUCUAGCCCUCUGCCAGGCUGACAGCUUCCGGUGCAGCGCUCGCACAGCACGCGCCAUAAAGAAGGCACAGAGAGCAGCAUCGGCGGAAGCGAUAACGUGAUGCAUCGCCCGCCCAUCCCUCUUCCCGCUCCGCUCUGUGCAGCCAUAUAUACAUGCAUAUGUACAUGCUUUUGCGUGUCGACUUCACUGUCCCUCAUCAGGGGGGAGGAGGGGGUGGCGCACCCCAGUGCGUGGCAUCCAGCGCACACACACAUACACACAAACUCUGUGCGUGGGAAAGCCAAGCGGUCUCUCCCCUCCCCUCUUCACCCCUGCCAAUGCAGAGCCACUUCCGGUGGUGACAGGGCUAGGCCCCCUACGGCGUAGGAGGAGGGGGGGAAGGGCAGCGCGAUGUAUCGCCACUGGUCUCGGCGGCCAGGCCGUGGAUGGCGGGGCGUCGGAGCGGCCUGUGACCGUGCACACGCUUGUGCCACCCCAUGUGAUGGGCGAAGCGUAAACGCGACUCAAGCGUGUGCCCCACCCCCGGCCCUCACGCAUCGCCUGCUGGUUGUGGGUAGAGUGUGAGGCGGAGGGGCCGUGCUCUCAGAUGACGGAGUCGGGGCAUUGUGCCGUGACACCUGCGCGUCUGCGGCUGCUUCGCACCACGCGGAUGGGCUGCCUGUGACACAGGGCCGCGCAGGGGCUGUCGCGUGGCGCAUGGCCGCAUGCGGUGCGGAGCAGGGCCAUGGGGCUCACGCUGCGAAGCAAAUGUCCGUGUUGACCGUCUCUCAUCUCUCGCUCCUCCAUCGCCUCCCUCUCGCCGAUUUCCUCUCACUCCUCACACUCAG